RNAcentral lists this ribosomal RNA (798 nucleotides) under Gymnosporangium gracile. RNAcentral's name for it is "LSU rRNA". It matches the Rfam family "Eukaryotic large subunit ribosomal RNA", at positions 80 to 861 of the family's 3401-position model. The record is from RNAcentral. Lineage: Eukaryota; Fungi; Basidiomycota; Pucciniomycetes; Pucciniales; Gymnosporangiaceae.
CUAGUAACGGCGAGUGAAGAGGGAUUAGCCCAAAUUUGUAAUCUGGCUCUUUCAGAGUCUGAGUUGUAAUUUUGAGAACUGUUUUCUGCUCUGGACCAUGUACAAGUCUGUUGAAAUGCAGCAUCAUUGAGGGUGAGAAUCCUGUUCAUGAUAUGGACUACCAGAGCUUUAUGAUACAGUCUCUAAGAGUCGAGUUGUUUGGGAAUGCAGCUCAAAGUGGGUGGUAAAUUCCAUCUAAGGCUAAAUAUUGGUGAGAGACCGAUAGCAAACAAGUACCGUGAGGGAAAGAUGAAAAGAACUUUGGAAAGAGAGUUAACAGUACGUGAAAUUGUUAAAAGGGAAACAGUUGAAGUUAGACUUGUUGUUGUCAGUUCAGCCCUUUUAGGGUGUUUUCUGAUGAUUAACAAACCAACAUCAAUUUUUGGGUGUUGGAUAAGGGUCUUGGAAAUGUAGCAGUCUUGGCUGUGUUAUAGUCCUUGACUUGGAUACAAUGCUUGGGAUUGAGGAAUGCAGUAAGCCAAUUAUUUGGUGGGACAAUUUAUUGUUCUUCUUACUGAGGAUGUUGGUGCAAUAGCUUUAAUUGACCCGUCUUGAAACACGGACCAAGGAGUCUAACAUGCUUGCGAGUAUUUGGGUGUUGAAACCCUCAUGCGUAAUGAAAGUAAAUGUAAAUGGGAUCUGUUAAAAGUGCACCAUUGACCAGUCCUGAUUAUUUAUAUGAANGUACUGAGUAAGAGCAAGUAUGUUGGGACCCGAAAGAUGGUGAACUAUGCCUGANUAGGGUGAAGCCAGAGGAAA